RNAcentral lists this long non-coding RNA (288 nucleotides) under Elaeis guineensis (African oil palm). RNAcentral's name for it is "long non-coding RNA (EGUI_LNC043965)". The record is from RNAcentral. Lineage: Eukaryota; Viridiplantae; Streptophyta; Magnoliopsida; Arecales; Arecaceae.
UCGAUUGAGAAGAGGCUAGGAAGCUAAGACACAACACCUUAAUUUGUGAUCAGUGCCAGAGGAACGUCAAUUGUUAAAAAUUAUGUCUCAAAAUCAAUCGUCAGCCUGUAGACGGUUGUGCUAAUCAUUAUAAUUAUAUAUAAAUUAUUAAAUUAAUAAAUAUUAUUUGAUUUUUUCAUCACUCUGUGUACAUCUUAUUUGAACUCUUGUAUUUUGUGAUGAAGUUCUUAAGACUAUUUGAAUCGAUAUAGGAAGAUAUAUCAUUUAGUCCUUAAACGUUGUUCAUGA